UCCUGGCUAGGACGAACGCUGGCGGCGUGCCUAAUACAUGCAAGUCGAACGGUCUUUCUAUGGAAGCUUGCUUCCACUGAGAAGAUAGUGGCGAACGGGUGAGUAACACGUGGGUAACCUGCCCAUAAGAGGGGGGAUAACACCCGGAAACGGGUGCUAAUACCGCAUAGUUUUCUUGAUCGCAUGAUCGGGAAAGGAAAGACGGCCUUUGUGCUGUCGCUUAUGGAUGGACCCGCGGCGUAUUAGUUAGUUGGUGAGGUAACGGCUCACCAAGACGAUGAUACGUAGCCGACCUGAGAGGGUGAUCGGCCACAUUGGGACUGAGACACGGCCCAAACUCCUACGGGAGGCAGCAGUAGGGAAUCUUCCGCAAUGGACGAAAGUCUGACGGAGCAACGCCGCGUGAGUGAAGAAAAGGUUUUCGGAUCGUAAAACUCUGUUGUCAGAGAAGAACAAGUUGGAGAGUAACUGCUCCAGCCUUGACGGUAUCUGACCAGAAAGCCACGGCUAACUACGUGCCAGCCGCAGC
RNAcentral lists this ribosomal RNA (529 nucleotides) under uncultured bacterium. Its description in RNAcentral is "bacterial SSU rRNA". It matches the Rfam family "Bacterial small subunit ribosomal RNA", at positions 17 to 518 of the family's 1533-position model. The record is from RNAcentral.